ACUCCUACGGGAGGCAGCAGUGGGGAAUAUUGCACAAUGGGCGCAAGCCUGAUGCAGCCAUGCCGCGUGUAUGAAGAAGGCCUUCGGGUUGUAAAGUACUUUCAGCAGUGAGGAAGGCGGGUACGUUAAUAGCGUGCUCGUUUGACGUUAGCUGACAGAAGAAGCAUACCGGUUCAACUCCGUGCCAGCAGCCGGCGGUAAUACGGAGGGUGCGAGCGUUAAUCGGAAUUACUGGGCGUAAAGCGCAUGCAGGUGGUUUGUUAAGUCAGAUGUGAAAGCCCGGGGCUCAACCUCGGAAUAGCAUUUGAAACUGGCAGACUAGAGUACUGUAGAGGGGGUAGAAUUUCAGGUGUAGCGGUGAAAUGCGUAGAGAUCUGAAGGAAUACCGGUGGCGAAGGCGGCCCCCUGGACAGAUACUGACACUCAGAUGCGAAAGCGUGGGGAGCAAACAGGAUUAGAUACCCUGGUAGGCUCU
RNAcentral lists this ribosomal RNA (475 nucleotides) under uncultured bacterium. Its description in RNAcentral is "bacterial SSU rRNA". It matches the Rfam family "Bacterial small subunit ribosomal RNA", at positions 335 to 798 of the family's 1533-position model. The record is from RNAcentral.